This 820-nucleotide ribosomal RNA is filed under the name uncultured Streptococcus sp. RNAcentral's name for it is "bacterial SSU rRNA". It matches the Rfam family "Bacterial small subunit ribosomal RNA", at positions 28 to 839 of the family's 1533-position model. Lineage: Bacteria; Bacillati; Bacillota; Bacilli; Lactobacillales; Streptococcaceae. The record is from RNAcentral.
GACGAACGCUGGCGGCGUGCCUAAUACAUGCAAGUAGAACGCUGAAGAGAGGAGCUUGCUCUUCUUGGAUGAGUUGCGAACGGGUGAGUAACGCGUAGGUCACCUGCCUUGUAGUGGGGGAUAACUAUUGGAAACGAUAGCUAAUACCGCAUAACAAUGGAUGACACAUGUCAUUUAUUUGAAAGGGGCAAUUGCUCCACUACGAGAUGGACCUGCGUUGUAUUAGCUAGUAGGUGAGGUAACGGCUCACCUAGGCGACGAUACAUAGCCGACCUGAGAGGGUGAUCGGCCACACUGGGACUGAGACACGGCCCAGACUCCUACGGGAGGCAGCAGUAGGGAAUCUUCGGCAAUGGGGGCAACUCUGACCGAGCAACGCCGCGUGAGUGAAGAAGGUUUUCGGAUCGUAAAGCUCUGUUGUAAGACAAGAACGAGUGUGAGAGUGGAAAGUUCACACUGUGACGGUAUCUUACCAGAAAGGGACGGCUAACUACGUGCCAGCAGCCGCGGUAAUACGUAGGUCCCGAGCGUUGUCCGGAUUUAUUGCGCGUAAAGCGAGCGCAGGCGGUUAGAUAAGUCUGAGUUAAAGGCUGUGGCUCACCAUAGCUCGCUGUGGAAACUGUCAAACUUGAGUGCAGGAGGGGAGAGUGAAUUCCGUGUGUCGCGGAGAAAUGCGAGAUAUAUGGAGGAACACCGGUGGCGAAAGCGCUCUCUGUCUGAUCUGACGCUGAGGCUCGAAAGCGUGGGGAGAAACAGAUAGAUACCCUUGUAGUCAAGGGCGAACUCCACAGGGAUAUAAUGUUAUCGAUCCGUCGACUCG